UACGUAGGGACCAAGCGUUGUUCGGAUUUACUGGGCGUAAAGGGCGCGUAGGCGGCUUGACAAGUCACUUGUGAAAUCUCCGGGCUUAACUCGGAACGGCCAAGUGAAACUGUCAUGCUAGAGUGCAGAAGGGGCAAUCGGAAUUCUUGGUGUAGCGGUGAAAUGCGUAGAUAUCAAGAGGAACACCUGCGGCGAAGGCGGGUUGCUGGGCUGAUACUGACGCUGAGGCGCGAAAGCCAGGGGAGCGAACGGG
Molecule: ribosomal RNA, 253 nt
Filed under: uncultured bacterium
Lineage: Bacteria
Description: partial 16S ribosomal RNA
Rfam family: Bacterial small subunit ribosomal RNA
Source: RNAcentral